UGCUGGAAAUUUUUUAAUUUGUUUAAUAGAAACUUUAUUAUUUUAACUGUAACUAUCUAAGUAAGUUUUCAAACAGUUUCACCAUAUUUUGAGUUAAAUCAGUCACGGAAAGUUCAUUUCAUUACCAAAGGAAAUAGUGAUUGAAAUACUUCUUUAAAGUAUUUCAUGUACCAGACAUAACAUUAGGCUCUGGAUAUCUAGUGGGAGAUGAGUACAAGCAUAUCGUUAUUUGCCUUAAGUCAGCAGUUAAAUUUUUUCAGUGAGUUUUUUAAAUGAUCUUGUAUUGGAAAAAGAGGCUGCAUUAACUAUCUAUUGGAAUGGUAUAUGUUUUCAUAGAAAGGAGCUAUGUGAAGGGGAUAGAUAAAUCUUUGUCAGGUACCAGUUCUUAAAUUAAUGUAUUAAUAUUUGAUUUGAUUUUUAUAACCCCUUUCAUUGUUAUAAA
RNAcentral lists this long non-coding RNA (442 nucleotides) under Bos taurus (domestic cattle). RNAcentral's name for it is "long non-coding RNA NONBTAT007168". Lineage: Eukaryota; Metazoa; Chordata; Mammalia; Artiodactyla; Bovidae. The record is from RNAcentral.